This 579-nucleotide ribosomal RNA is filed under the name uncultured bacterium. Its description in RNAcentral is "bacterial SSU rRNA". It matches the Rfam family "Bacterial small subunit ribosomal RNA", at positions 920 to 1498 of the family's 1533-position model. The record is from RNAcentral.
CCCGCACAAGCGGUGGAGCAUGUGGUUUAAUUCGAUGCAACGCGAAGAACCUUACCUACCCUUGACAUCCAGAGAAUCUGUUAGAGAUAGUAGAGUGCCUUCGGGAACUCUGAGACAGGUGCUGCAUGGCUGUCGUCAGCUCGUGUUGUGAAAUGUUGGGUUAAGUCCCGUAACGAGCGCAACCCUUAUCCUUAGUUGCCAGCACAUAAUGGUGGGAACUCUAGGGAGACUGCCGGUGAUAAACCGGAGGAAGGUGAGGACGACGUCAAGUCAUCAUGGCCCUUAUGGGUAGGGCUACACACGUGCUACAAUGGCCAGUACAGAGGGCUGCGAACUUGCGAAAGUAAGCGAAUCCCAGAAAGCUGGUCUUAGUCCGGAUUGGAGUCUGCAACUCGACUCCAUGAAGUUGGAAUCGCUAGUAAUCGCGAAUCAGAACGUCGCGGUGAAUACGUUCCCGGGCCUUGUACACACCGCCCGUCACACCAUGGGAGUGGGUUGCAAAAGAAGUGGGUAGACUAACCUUCGGGAGGUCGCUCACCACUUUGUGAUUCAUGACUGGGGUGAAGUCGUAACAAGGUA